UCUAUAGUUUUGUCCAUCUUCUAUAGGUAAUUCUGGAUAUAAAUCAGGAGCUGUAGGUUGUUUCAUUUUUUAAAGUAAAAAUUGAUUUUUUUUUUUUUUUCUCUUAAAUCCCACAGAAUUUUUUCUCUGUCAGUUCUCCCGGUUUUUUUUUGGGAGUAAGAAAAUUUGGUGUUUUUUUUGGGUGUUUUUUUGCUUUUUUUUUUUAUGAAAAUUUAGGGCUCUUUUACUUGAAAUGAGGGUAAUUUUUUGGGGGUCAAAUUUUUUUUUUUUGGAGGGGGGGCGCUGGAGUCGUUCAAGUACUAUACUACUCCCCUUAGGGGAAAAAAUGAGUUUUAUAAAAAACCCCAGGAUUAAGGUUUUGGUGUGCUCUUUACAAAAAAAAUUUUUUAUUUUUUUAUGGGGGGUAUAAAUACAAAGUGUGUUUUUUUCUUCUUAAUUUUGAAGUUAAAAAUCACACAAAAAUGUUGGUAAAAUUUUUAUUUUGGAUGUAAAAAGGGUUUUUUUUCUUUAAAAUGGGGGGUCAAAAAUUG
This 530-nucleotide long non-coding RNA is filed under the name Mytilus galloprovincialis (Mediterranean mussel). The record is from RNAcentral. Lineage: Eukaryota; Metazoa; Mollusca; Bivalvia; Mytilida; Mytilidae.